Lutra lutra (Eurasian river otter) is the source of this 256-nucleotide long non-coding RNA. RefSeq lists it as uncharacterized. The record is from RefSeq and is a predicted model, not a curated record. The transcript is spliced from 3 exons. NCBI's taxonomy places the organism in Eukaryota, Metazoa, Chordata, Mammalia, Carnivora, Mustelidae.
CCUGGAUGCUCCUGGGCUGUAAUCUGAAACGGGCCCCUUAAAGCAGUGGCCAGGGAGAGACUGAAGAAAGUUGGAGGCCACUCCAGGAAUCUGCCCUACGGACAGCCUGUGAUCUCAGUGCCAUCACAGAAAUGGAUUUCAGAGUGAUGGAUUAGAAGCCUUCAAACAAGUCCAUUCCUGGGAGUUGGAGGUCUAAUACUGAUUUGAGUAUUCUUGUAUGUACUGGCGUUAACCAGCUGUGACCGAAGGAUGCUCA